Molecule: non-coding RNA, 71 nt
Organism: Ciona savignyi (Pacific transparent sea squirt)
Lineage: Eukaryota; Metazoa; Chordata; Ascidiacea; Phlebobranchia; Cionidae
Source: Rfam
GCUGUGAUCGUAUAGUGGUUAGUACUUCAUGUUGUGGCCGUGACAACCAGGUUCGAAUCCUGGUCACAGCA